This 376-nucleotide ribosomal RNA is filed under the name uncultured bacterium. RNAcentral's name for it is "bacterial SSU rRNA". It matches the Rfam family "Bacterial small subunit ribosomal RNA", at positions 969 to 1344 of the family's 1533-position model. The record is from RNAcentral.
CCUUACCUGGGUUUGACAUCCUCUGAUCAUUAUAGAAAUAUAAUCUUUUCCGUAAGGAAACAGAGAGACAGGUGCUGCAUGGCUGUCGUCAGCUCGUGUCGUGAGAUGUUGGGUUAAGUCCCGCAACGAGCGCAACCCUUAUCUUUAGUUGCCAUCAUUAAGUUGGGCACUCUAGAGAAACUGCCGGUGAUAAAUCGGAUGAAGGUGGGGAUGACGUCAAGUCCUCAUGGCCUUUAUAUCCAGGGCUACACACGUGCUACAAUGGUUUGGACAAAGAGACGCAAGUUUGCGAAAACAAGCAAAUCUCAUAAACCAAAUCUCAGUUCGGAUUGAAGUCUGCAACUCGACUUCAUGAAGUCGGAAUCGCUAGUAAUCG